GGGCUGGGACCGGGACGUCGGGG
This 23-nucleotide non-coding RNA is filed under the name Arabidopsis thaliana (thale cress). Lineage: Eukaryota; Viridiplantae; Streptophyta; Magnoliopsida; Brassicales; Brassicaceae. The record is from RNAcentral.